Molecule: ribosomal RNA, 430 nt
Filed under: Pseudomonadota bacterium
Lineage: Bacteria; Pseudomonadati; Pseudomonadota
Description: Proteobacteria bacterium partial 16S ribosomal RNA
Rfam family: Bacterial small subunit ribosomal RNA
Source: RNAcentral
CGGGGAAUAUUGGACAAUGGGGGGAACCCUGAUCCAGCCAUGCCGCGUGUGUGAAGAAGGCCUUAUGGUUGUAAAGCACUUUAAGCGAGGAGGAGGGUACUGGUAUUAAUACUACCAGGUACUGGACGUUACUCGCAGAAUAAGCACCGGCUAACUCUGUGCCAGCAGCCGCGGUAAUACAGAGGGUGCGAGCGUUAAUCGGAUUUACUGGGCGUAAAGCGUGCGUAGGCGGCUAAUUGAGUCGGAUGUGAAAUCCCCGAGCUUAACUUGGGAAUUGCAUUCGAUACUGGUUAGCUAGAGUGUGGGAGAGGAUGGUAGAAUUCCAGGUGUAGCGGUGAAAUGCGUAGAGAUCUGGAGGAAUACCGAUGGCGAAGGCAGCCAUCUGGCCUAACACUGACGCUGAGGUACGAAAGCAUGGGGAGCAAACAGG